Molecule: ribosomal RNA, 407 nt
Filed under: uncultured bacterium
Lineage: Bacteria
Description: partial 16S ribosomal RNA
Rfam family: Bacterial small subunit ribosomal RNA
Source: RNAcentral
GACGAACGCUGGCGGCGUGCCUAAUACAUGCAAGUAGAACGCAGUUGCGCACGGGUGAGUAACGCGUAGGUAACUGCCUGGUAGCGGGGGAUAACUAUUGGAAACGAUAGCUAAUACCGCAUACUACCAGCUGGACCUGCGUUGUAAUAGCUAGUUGGUGGGGUAACGGCGCACCAAGGCAACGAUACAUAGCCGAACUGGGAGGGUGGUCGGCAACACUGGGACUGGGCAACUGCUCAGAAUCCUACGGGAGGCAGCAGGAGGGGAUCUUCGGCAAUGGACGGAAGUCUGACCGAGCAAAGCCGCGUGAGUGAAGGAGGUUUGCGGAUCGUAAAGCUCUGUUGUAAGAGAAGCGGUAUCUUACCAGAAAGGGACGGCUAACUACGUGCCAGCAGCCGCGGUAAUUC